RNAcentral lists this ribosomal RNA (254 nucleotides) under uncultured bacterium. Its description in RNAcentral is "partial 16S ribosomal RNA". It matches the Rfam family "Bacterial small subunit ribosomal RNA", at positions 524 to 776 of the family's 1533-position model. The record is from RNAcentral.
UACGUAGGCAGCGAGCGUUGUUCGGAGUUACUGGGCGUAAAGGGUGUGUAGGCGGUUGUUUAAGUUUGGUGUGAAAUCUCCCGGCUCUACUGGGAGGGUGCGCCGAAUACUGAAUGACUUCGAGUGCGGGAGAGGAGAGUGGAAUUCCUGGUGUAGCGGUGAAAUGCGUAGAUAUCGGGAGGAACACCAGCGGCGAAGGCGGCACUCUGGGCUGGAACUGACGCUGAGGAGCGAAAGCGUGGGUAGCAAACAGG